RNAcentral lists this ribosomal RNA (488 nucleotides) under uncultured bacterium. RNAcentral describes it as "bacterial SSU rRNA". It matches the Rfam family "Bacterial small subunit ribosomal RNA", at positions 634 to 1123 of the family's 1533-position model. The record is from RNAcentral.
UGUCGGACUAGAGUGCGGAAGAGGCGAGUGGAAUUCCUGGUGUAGCGGUGAAAUGCGCAGAUAUCAGGAGGAACACCAAUUGCGAAGGCAGCUCGCUGGGACGUUACUGACGCUGAGACGCGAAACGGUGGGGAGCAAACAGGAUUAGAUACCCUGGUAGUCCACGCUGUAAACGAUGGGCACUACCUGUGGGGGGUGUCGACUCCCUCCGUGCCGAAGCUAACGCAUUAAGUGCCCCGCCUGGGGAGUACGGCCGCAAGGCUUUAACUCAAAGGAAUUGACGGGGGCCCGCACAAGCAGCGGAGCAUGUGGUAAUUCGACGCAACGCGAAGAACCUUACCUGGGCUUGACGUGUGCCUGACCGCCCUGGAAACAGGGCUUCCCUUCGGGGCAGGUUCACAGGUGGUGCAUGGCUGUCGUCAGCUCGUGUCGUGAGAUGUUGGGUUAAGUCCCGCAACGAGCGCAACCCCCGUCGCAUGUUGCCAGCA